AUACUGCUCUUUGUGUUCACUGUCUGCCUUGAUGUUGCACCAAAAUUUCAUAAGGCACGCGGUGAAUGCCAAGAGACGGUAGU
Molecule: microRNA precursor, 83 nt
Filed under: Strigamia maritima
Lineage: Eukaryota; Metazoa; Arthropoda; Chilopoda; Geophilomorpha; Linotaeniidae
Description: mir-124 microRNA precursor family
Rfam family: mir-124 microRNA precursor family (bases 5-77)
About the family: The mature ~21nt miRNAs are processed from hairpin precursor sequences represented here, in this case originating from the 3' arm. The bounds of the precursors are predicted based on conservation and base pairing and are not generally known.
Source: RNAcentral